AACGCUAGCUACAGGCUUAACACAUGCAAGUCGAGGGGAAACGACAUCGAAAGCUUGCUUUUGAUGGGCGUCGACCGGCGCACGGGUGAGUAACGCGUAUCCAACCUGCCCAUCACUUGGGGAUAACCUUGCGAAAGUAAGACUAAUACCCAAUGACGUCUCUAGAAGACAUCUGAAAGGGAUUAAAGACUUAUCGGUGAUGGAUGGGGAUGCGUCUGAUUAGCUUGUUGGCGGGGUAACGGCCCACCAAGGCGACGAUCAGUAGGGGUUCUGAGAGGAAGGUCCCCCACAUUGGAACUGAGACACGGUCCAAACUCCUACGGGAGGCAGCAGUGAGGAAUAUUGGUCAAUGGGCGAGAGCCUGAACCAGCCAAGUAGCAUGCAGGAUGACGGCCCUAUGGGUUGUAAACUGCUUUUAUAAGGGAAUAAAGUGAGCCUCGUGAGGCUUUUUGCAUGUACCUUAUGAAUAAGGACCGGCUAAUUCCGUGCCAGCAGCCGCGGUAAUACGGAAGGUCCAGGCGUUAUCCGGAUUUAUUGGGUUUAGAGGGAGCGUAGGCCGGAGAUUAAGCGUGUUGUGAAAUGUAGGCGCUCAACGUCUGCACUGCAGCGCGAACUGGUUUUCUUGAGUACGCACAAAGUGGGCGGAAUUCGUGGUGUAGCGGUGAAAUGCUUAGAUAUCACGAAGAACUCCGAUUG
RNAcentral lists this ribosomal RNA (696 nucleotides) under uncultured bacterium. RNAcentral's name for it is "bacterial SSU rRNA". It matches the Rfam family "Bacterial small subunit ribosomal RNA", at positions 32 to 715 of the family's 1533-position model. The record is from RNAcentral.